AGCGGGGCGGCCCGGCCGAGAGCAGCGCCCAGCUCCCAGCGCCCCGCACCGCCCGGCCCGGGCUGGGAGCGCUCCCCGCGGGGGGCCGGCGGCGGGCAGGGCAGGGCAGGGCAGGGCAGGGCAGGGCGGCGGGGGUGGGAUCUGCUCCGCGUAAUUCCCCCCGGGGGGCGGCGGGCCGCUCUCGGAGCAUCCCCCCCCCCCCUCCGUCCCCGACGCGGGGAGGGGAGAGCCACCACCCCCCGCUUCCUCCGUUUAAGACCCGGGCCGGCGGGGCGAGAGCGGAGGAGAGCGGCCGCUCCGCAGCUGCCGGCCCCAUUUCGGCGGCGGGGCGGGCGCUGGAUGAGCCGCCGACGGGAGGCGGCCGGCAGCCGAGCGGGUCCGAUCGCGGCGCGAUGAGCGCGGGCGGCAGCGGCUCGGCGGGCACCGCCACCUCCGCGCUGUGCCUGCUCCUGUCGCUCACCGCCGUGGCCGUGUGUCUGCUGCUGGGCGCUAAGACCGCCGAGCUGCAGGGCCGCCUGGCCGCCCUGGAGGAGCGCGGUGCCGCCGGCCCCGGGCCGCUGCUGGACGCGCUGCAGCCCCGCGUGGAGCAGCUCCUGCGCGAGUAGGCAGAGAGUGUCCGGAUUAAUCAGCUUCAUGACGAG
RNAcentral lists this long non-coding RNA (641 nucleotides) under Coturnix japonica (Japanese quail). RNAcentral describes it as "lncRNA (ENSCJPG00005005221.1)". The record is from RNAcentral. Lineage: Eukaryota; Metazoa; Chordata; Aves; Galliformes; Phasianidae.